UCAAAUUCAAAUAUGCCGGAUACCGUUCGUCUUUUUUGUUCUCUCGACUGAAGGGCUGGCCGAGGGAGAGGAGCACAUAUAAACCUUCCCGGCAACAUGGGAAUGACCCCGGCCUUUUCCAAGCGAGCUGGGGGGUGGUGAGGCAAAAGUGAACAUGCCGAGAGAGCAUGAAAGUUGCUGUGGGCGUGCCUGAAGACAUUAUAAUCGCUUCGGGGGAAAGAUUUUCAGCGAAACGAAUUUGCCGCGUUACAUUAGAUAGAUGUUGUAGUAACGGCCUACCAAGACUACGAUCUAUAGCUGGCUUGACGCGAUGAUCAGGAUGACUGGGACUGACACAAGGCCCACACUCCGACGGGAGGCAUUAGUGGGGAAUGUUGGAAAAUGGUGGCUUGCCUGAUCCCACUCCGGGCGUGAGUGAUGAAGGGCCGUCGGGCUGAGAGUUCUUUCCCUUGUUAAGAUUAUAACUGUUUCAGGUUGUGAAGCCCAGGGUAAGCCCAUGCCCGCAACCGCCUGUUUCCCUACCGCCGUCAGCGUCCUGCGGAAUUACUGGGCUGCAAGAGCGCUGAUCGCGACUAUUAGGUCGUAGGAGAAAUCGCGGGGCUCAUCGCCGCAACUGCCUUUGAUACUGAUAGUCUUGAUUUCGCGAGAGGUACUUGAAUUCAGAGUGUCGAGGAGAGAUUCAUAGAUAUCCGGAAGAUCA
Molecule: ribosomal RNA, 700 nt
Filed under: uncultured bacterium
Lineage: Bacteria
Description: partial 16S ribosomal RNA
Rfam family: Bacterial small subunit ribosomal RNA
Source: RNAcentral